Molecule: long non-coding RNA, 1184 nt
Filed under: Ficedula albicollis (Collared flycatcher)
Lineage: Eukaryota; Metazoa; Chordata; Aves; Passeriformes; Muscicapidae
Description: lncRNA (ENSFALG00000027724.1)
Source: RNAcentral
CCAGUUUCCUGUCACAGAGGCCAGGCUUUUCCAGAGGGCACACAAGGAAUACCUUCCUUUUUUUUCCUUCACAGAAGGAAAGGAAAGGACCAUGACAGAAGUCUUCAGCUGAACUCCAUAUUGCCCCAAAUUAUCAUCUCCAAUUAGGGUUUACUCUAAUUGCAGCACUUUACCUGGCUGGAUGUCAGCACUGUAGCAAGAGAUGGAUGUUUCAGCACCUCGUACGUCUCAGAUCACCUUGCUCUCUGUCACUCUGCCUUUUGAAUGAGGAACAUGCUAAUUGAUGACAUUGUAGUCACAAAGUCUGGUGAUCAGAUGCUCCUGGUGGUACCAACCUUUUUAUCUGCCUUGGAUGUGGCGGGACGUGGCGACUCAGCCAAGGGAUCAGGACUCUAAUUUUUAAAAUGGGCUUUGUGCCGGGAGGUGCCGGCACAGCUGCAGGAGAUGGGGCUCUAAUUGUCAAAGCGGCGAAGCUGGGGCGAGACUGUGAUUGGCUGGAGGAAGGCGGUGACAGCGCAGGAGCAGGAAGCUGAUUGGAUGAGAGGACGCGUGGACAGCAGCGCGGCAGCCGAGGCAGCCAAUGAGAGCCUUCCUUCUGUGGCGCUCCGUUGAGUCUCCGUUUGGUUUCCCUCGUGUCAGGCGGAGAUGAGCGGCAGGGAAGGCGGCCAGGUCUGACAGUAAAGCCAUCUCCUCCGCGUGCAUGAACGGGGCCCGGGGGGCUUUGCUCCCACUGCUACCCACUGCAACAGGAGAAGGCUGUUAUUGAUGAGGAAAGGAGAAUAGUGGUUACAUCCUUGAUCAUUUUGGAUCCUGGAACCAGGUACCACCCGGCCAACAAGCCAAGAGCUGCUCGUGUCCCCAGUGGCCUAGGCCUGCUCUCCAAUGGUCCACAGUGGUCAAGUUAUGUAAUCAAGGUACUAGCAUAAUUAGUUACCUCUCAGUUAUAAAACCAGGAUUUAUUAUAACUGUGGGGCCUUCAGGCCAGCUGUUGGCCACUACAACAUCCAGAUAUCAAAGUUCCUCCCUCCAUUCCCUCUCCCUUCUGAGUCCCCAUGUUCUCUUCACUUUCCUUGCUCGUUGUCAUGAAGUGUGAGUCAUCUCUUGGUAUCUCACAGGUCUCUUGCAGCAAAUGGGACAUCAAAACCUAGUGUUAAAAUCCUCAAAGCUUUAAAAGCCACCAAAAU